GUCACCAAUGUGACGGCCGUGAAAGGCAAAGACAGAAACAGCUGGGUGUUGUCCUGAAAACGAAGAGAGACGAUCAGGGAUUAUCACCUGUGACCUCCAGGGCAUGACAGGAAAACCGCAAAUCUGUCUGUGCAAGAAAAGGGCAGCGUGACAGUCUUUGGGGAGAACAAGCUGGCGUUUAAGGGGCAGCCGGUCCUGUUUGAAUGCCGAGCUGCAGGAUGGUACCCUCAGCCCCUUCUACAAUGGCGGGUUAAUGGCAAAAUGGUAAAUUUAUCAGACAUUGUGACAUGUACCAUCUUUAAAGACCCACUCUCAUCAAGUUAUUUAAAUAUUCCUUUUACCCUAGUAACAUGUUCAUAUGGUGCCUUUUAUAUGUUGGAGUACUUAUCAUGAGCAAAAAUAAGCAAUCAACACCAUGGCAAAGCAUUUCCACCGUGGAACUGUGGUGUACCAAUGACAGUUGCAAAAACAUGGAUUAGACUUCUGAGGUUUCAUCUAUAAAACACGUAGUGAACCAGUGCUGUUAAAUUACACUGUUGGCCGAAUCACAUUAAUAUUACAACUUGCCAUUGUAUAGCGUAGACAAGUUUCACAGUGUAAGCAGAGGUGUAGGUAAAGUGGUGUGCUUGAGUUGCACAUUCACAAGGAAGCAAUUGUGUAGUUACAGGUAAGUCAUUUUAAGCAUGAAGAGAUAAUUUAUUGUAAAAAAAUAAAUAAAUAAAAAGGUGUAAAUAUGUCGUUUCAAUACACAGAAACAAAUUAAUGACCGCGGAAGGACUUUAACAUAAACACCAUUGAAGCCUGCUUUCUUGUUAGCUAGUCUGCCAAUGGUUUAUCUGUAACAUACUUUAAACAAUAUAUGUGAUAGCGUAUCUGCACAGUUACAUAAUUUUUGCAGGUCUUGAAAUAAAAUAAUGGAUACUACACUGAAAUGCCAUGUCUCUAAUUUGGGUAGAUUUAUACUACCGUUCAAAAGUCUGGGGUUGUCCAGACAAUUUCAUGUUUUCCAAUAAAAUACACAUAUUUCUUCAUGUGUUAACAUAAUUGCACAAGGGUUUUCUAAUCAUCAAUCAGCCUUUCAACACCAUUAGCUAACACAAUGUAGCAUUAGAACACAGGAGUGAUGGUUGCUGGAAAUGUUCCUCUGUACCCCUAUGGAGAUAUUACAUUAAAAAUCAGCCUUUUCCAGCUAGAAUACUCAUUUACCACAUUAACAGUGUCUACACUGUAAUUCUGAUUAAUUUAAUGCUGUAUUUAUUGAAAAAAGCUGCUUUUCAUUCAAAAAUAAUGACAUUUCUAAAUGACCCCAAACUUUUGAACGGUUGUGUACAUCAGCAGAGAAAUAACUGAGAGACAUGUUCCUAGUUUAAUAGAUAGCAACCAAACUUCAGGGGAACUCAUUUCACUUCAAAAGCAAUUAGGCAGAUACACAUGACGUCAAACUAAACCAUCAUAUUUGAUAUUUUGUGGAAAAUCCUGUGUCUUCAACCCACAGACAUCAGCAGAUACUUUCUAUGCUCCCUGGUGACACAUUCCUUCUCUGCAGCCUCCUUCAGCUCCUGCUUUUUGAACUGAAAUCAUAUCAUAGGAUAUUCUUUAUUGCUGCUUUUGGUGUAUGUUUAGGAGCAAUUAAUGAUGCAAUAUUGCAAUUAAUUUUAAUGGGCGUAACUGAACCUGAACUAACUGAACUCUGCAUUCAACCUGUUGUUUCUGUCUGCAGUCAAAUCCUUGGUAACAUGGACUUCUAGCUGUUUUAUGCAGCAUAAUUGUGAUGCUGUGCUUGUUUUUGUCUACCUGUUCAGGGACAACAGAUGUAAAUUAGCUGCUAGGUGGCAAUUACUUUCAAUUGUGCUUUGUCCCUGCAAAAAUAAACAGUAAAAUUAAAUAAAUGCCAGUGUGCUAUUUCAGGUGGCAGACGUACAUGUCCAAACUACACCACAGGCACCACUGGGUUUGACAGAUGAAAUGCUACUUUGGUUCAUGAGCUUAUUUCUACACAUUUUGGAUUUAUCUUAUCAGUUCAUAACCUGUGAGGUUUGCUUGCAUCAAAUUUUCCCUUUUCAGCUAUCCAUAAGAGCCUCCUCGACUUGCUUUGCAGUCAUAAAAGGGUCUUUCUUCUGCAUGCAAAUGAUUAUUCCAGUCAUCAAUAAGACUCAUGCCCCUUGGCCUACGAGGCCAUUUGCCAUUUUCUAAUUUUCCAGCUAUUGAUUCUGGCAAAAACAAAGUCACAGGGUGAGAUUCAAGUUCUAGCUUGUGCAGGUGAAUUACUUCUUUUUGAGAGAAAGUGGCCCAAAGACUUUUCCUGACCCUUUAGGAAACACUUUGUAAUGGUGAGGAACACAUUGCUUAGUGAAGAGACAAGAGAAGCUGAUUUGAUCAACCAUAGAUCCUAUUUUAUGUACUUGUAAUGUUCUUCAGUUGCCAAUAAAUGCUGCAGCACCUUUCCUAGA
Acanthochromis polyacanthus (spiny chromis) is the source of this 2450-nucleotide long non-coding RNA. RefSeq lists it as uncharacterized. The transcript has 2 exons. The record is from RefSeq and is a predicted model, not a curated record. NCBI's taxonomy places the organism in Eukaryota, Metazoa, Chordata, Actinopteri, Pomacentridae.